GCAACAUUGGUCUAGUGGUUAGGAUUAUCGCCUUCCAAGCGAUAGGGCGGGGUUCGAUUCCCCGAUGUUGCA
RNAcentral lists this transfer RNA (72 nucleotides) under Hortaea werneckii EXF-2000. RNAcentral's name for it is "tRNA-Gly (TCC) (tRNA-Gly-TCC-2-1)". It matches the Rfam family "tRNA". From Rfam's summary of the family: Transfer RNA (tRNA) molecules are approximately 80 nucleotides in length. Their secondary structure includes four short double-helical elements and three loops (D, anti-codon, and T loops). The record is from RNAcentral. Lineage: Eukaryota; Fungi; Ascomycota; Dothideomycetes; Mycosphaerellales; Teratosphaeriaceae.